RNAcentral lists this long non-coding RNA (805 nucleotides) under Glycine max (soybean). Its description in RNAcentral is "long non-coding RNA (GMAX_LNC003811)". The record is from RNAcentral. Lineage: Eukaryota; Viridiplantae; Streptophyta; Magnoliopsida; Fabales; Fabaceae.
GAGAAUUUAUUAUUUUUAUUAUUUAUUGUUUUUAUUUUCACUAAAAAUAUUUUCAAAAAUUCAACCAAAAACAUUUUCAGUAAAAAUAAAAACAAAAACAAUCAAAUCAAACCAAAACCCCCUCAAUUUUCCGGCCUUUUCUAUUUUACCCCACACUGAAAAGGGAGGUUUUGUGGGCAUGUGUAAACCGAUUAUGGUCGGUCCAUCCAUCGGUGAAGCAGCGACUGAGGCGCGCCGAACUACAUCGAGCCGGAGAUCAUCCGAUAAUGACCAUGAUCAAUUCAAAAUUCAAAACAACACUGAUGACCACAAACCAAAAAAUCCAAUAAUGACCAUGAUCAAUUCAAAAUUAAAUUUAGACUUUACGGAUCCCACGAUAAUCCAUUGCAAUUAAAAAUUACAAAUAACCAUCAAGAAUCCAUUACAAAUGCAAAUUACAAGCAACCUAAUUGAAAGAAAGGGAAGAAAAAUUGUGAAUCUUCAUCCUCGUCACGGCACACUGACGACGCAAUGAUAGCCCACCCUCUCCACACACUGCGCGCGCCUCCUUCUCUCCCCCGGGCUCUCCUCCUUUACGCGCCCAAACCUUCCCUCAGCUCCGUCAGUGACAACCUAAAGUCUCCAUGGAAGUGAAUGAAGAACUCCGUAAGAUGCCUAAUCUCGAUGAGGGGAAAGGGAAAAGGAUUGGGGUAAACUCUUACCACUGCACCUUUUGGGAGAGUUUUUAAAAAUGGUUCUUUUUGUUUGGAGGCUUAAAUGUUAUUUCACAUUAAAUUUUUCUUAACUGAUUAAACAUAUUUUAAGU